ACUCAAAUGAAUAGACGGGGGCCCGCACAAGCGGUGGAGCAUGUGGUUUAAUUCGACGCAACGCGAAGAACCUUACCAAGGCUUGACAUCCUCAGAAUCCUGUGGAAACACGGGAGUGCCCUUUUUGGGAGCUGAGAGACAGGUGGUGCAUGGUUGUCGUCAGCUCGUGUCGUGAGAUGUUGGGUUAAGUCCCGCAACGAGCGCAACCCCUAUAUUCAGUUGCCAGCACUUAGGGUGGGAACUCUGGAUAGACUGCCGGUGACAAACCGGAGGAAGGUGGGGAUGACGUCAAAUCAUCAUGCCCCUUAUGUCUUGGGCUACACACGUGCUACAAUGGACGGUACAGACGGCAGCGAAGCCGCAAGGUGAAGCAAAUCCGAGAAAGCCGUUCUCAGUUCGGAUUGCAGGCUGCAACUCGCCUGCAUGAAGUAGGAAUCGCUAGUAAUCGCAGGUCAGCACACUGCGGUGAAUACGUUCCCGGGCCUUGUACACACCGCCCGU
Molecule: ribosomal RNA, 501 nt
Filed under: uncultured bacterium
Lineage: Bacteria
Description: bacterial SSU rRNA
Rfam family: Bacterial small subunit ribosomal RNA
Source: RNAcentral